GACGAACGCUGGCGGCGUGCCUAACACAUGCAAGUCGAACGGAGUGUUUAUUUAUAAACACUUAGUGGCGAACGGGUGAGUAACGCGUAGACAACCUACCCUCUAGAUGGGGACAACACCGCGAAAGUGGUGCUAAUACCGAAUGUUGUAAUGUUGUUGCAUAAUGAUAUUACUAAAGGUGGCCUCUAUAUAAAAGCUACCGCUAGAAGAUGGGUCUGCGUCUGAUUAGCUAGUUGGUGAGAUAACAGCUCACCAAGGCAAUGAUCAGUAGCCGGUCUGAGAGGAUGAACGGCCACACUGGGACUGAGACACGGCCCAGACUCCUACGGGAGGCAGCAGUGGGGAAUCUUCCGCAAUGGACGAAAGUCUGACGGAGCAACGCCGCGUGAGUGAAGAAGGUUUUCGGAUCGUAAAGCUCUGUCUUCAAGGACGAAUGUAGAUAUUGUGAAUAAUGAUAUUUAAUGACGGUACUUGAGGAGGAAGCCACGGCUAACUACGUGCCAGCCGCCGCGGUAA
RNAcentral lists this ribosomal RNA (516 nucleotides) under uncultured bacterium. RNAcentral's name for it is "partial 16S ribosomal RNA". It matches the Rfam family "Bacterial small subunit ribosomal RNA", at positions 28 to 523 of the family's 1533-position model. The record is from RNAcentral.